This 468-nucleotide ribosomal RNA is filed under the name uncultured bacterium. Its description in RNAcentral is "partial 16S ribosomal RNA". It matches the Rfam family "Bacterial small subunit ribosomal RNA", at positions 28 to 507 of the family's 1533-position model. The record is from RNAcentral.
GACGAACGCUGGCGGCGUGCUUAACACAUGCAAGUCGAACGGAAAGGCCCUGCUUUUGUGGGGUGCUCGAGUGGCGAACGGGUGAGUAACACGUGAGUAACCUGCCCUUGACUUUGGGAUAACUUCAGGAAACUGGGGCUAAUACCGGAUAGGAGCUCCUGCUGCAUGGUGGGGGUUGGAAAGUUUCGGCGGUUGGGGAUGGACUCGCGGCUUAUCAGCUUGUUGGUGGGGUAGUGGCUUACCAAGGCUUUGACGGGUAGCCGGCCUGAGAGGGGGACCGGCCACAUUGGGACUGCGGUACGGCCCAGACUCCUACGGGAGGCAGCAGUGGGAAAUAUUGCACAAUGGGCGGAAGCCUGAUGCAGCAACGCCGCGUGCGGGAUGACGGCCUUCGGGUUGUAAACCGCUUUCGACUGUGACGAAGCGUUAGUGACGGUAAUGGGUAAAGAAGCACCGGCUAACUACGUG